Meleagris gallopavo (turkey) is the source of this 2627-nucleotide non-coding RNA. The record is from RefSeq and is a predicted model, not a curated record. Lineage: Eukaryota; Metazoa; Chordata; Aves; Galliformes; Phasianidae.
UGAUUUCCUUUUAACUGCGUUACUCUUGCUUGAUUUAUCGGAUUAGGGCUUUUCACACAUAGUGCGUACAAGAUAUUGUUUUUAAUGAGAAAUUAAAAGAUUACCAACAAUACCCAUAAACCAUUAAAAACACAAACUCUAGAUGAAUGGUAAUUAGACAGAAUGAUUUGAGGCUGAUAAAUUGAAAGCAAUUAAUGUAUUUGUUUGGGAUUCUGGAGAUAGCUGUGUGUUCCAGAAAGCACUGAAGGGCUCAGAUUUGGUGUCGGAUUGUGUGCAGAGAUACCUGCACUGCUUCAGGUGUCCGGGUCCCAGGAAAACACCAGUGGAGAAGAUGCUGAAAGGGCUCCUGGGGCUUCGAGAGGGGGAGACGUGAGAGGUUAUGUGAGGGGCUUUGUGGGGAGGGCCGAAGGGGAGGUCACAGUAGGGCGUCAGUGAAUCAAGCCUUUCCUGUGGUCUGAUGUAAAGGGAUAUGUGAGGUAGGAGGGGGGAAAGUGCUGAGGACAGGAAAAUGUUUCUCAUCUGUGCUGUGGUUUAUUAGUACUGAGUCUUCUGCUUAACCCGAGCAGUCCUCAGUUGGUGAGCAAGUGUGAGAUGCUCCCCUCUGGGACAUGAGGGGGAUGUGGCUUGUUACCCCAGCAAGAUCGCUGCUGCUCAUGCUCUUGGCAGAACAACUGUUCCAAGAUGCUGUGUCUGGAAAGGGAGCACUGUUGGAUGUUCCUUGUGCUUGCUUCCAGACCAAUGUAAAUUCUUCAAAUAUCAAAAUGAGGACUCGCAGCAAACAAAAACCUGAAACCUUUUCCCUGUUUUUCCCUCAAGUCAUCAGAAUCAAACCCUUCUCACACAAUGUUUUGUUUGUGAUAAUUUGGUGUUUCUGAUGGUAGGGAGGGUCUAAUAAAAGAAAUUCUAGACAUGGAAUUGUGCAAGUAGAACUCCCUUCUUCUCACCAUUGGCUUAUCUCUCUAUUCCAAUCCCUCCUUUAGAUGUAUUUCUUCCAUGAGGCUUUUCAGUGCUUAUCCGCUGUAGAAGGAAAUGCAUUAUUUAACAAGGCAAGAGCAAGAAAACAGUGCAUGCCCUUCACGUUUAACCAUCAGCUGCUGGUAUCUUGUUCAGGGAAUCAGGUUUUCAAAGGAGCACAAGCUCUUGAAAGGCCUUAGAGGAGCGGAUGCUGGCUCUCUUUUGAGAACCUGGCCACCAGGUUCCCAGUGGGAGCUGUUGGACUGAACCAGACUCUCUUGAAGUUUUGCCCUGAAAAAUAAAAAUGAUGUUCUCUAUGGAAACUCUGUGGCUUGUCAAAUUUAGGGCGCAAUUCUUUCAGUUGCUGAUUACUUCUGGGAGUGUUGCAGGUGCUCUGAAGCAUACACCUGCAGGAGCCCCAUGCGAUGCUCACAGGGGGAUGUUUCUUAUGGCUCUCCUCUGUUCCACUCGAAUCAAAGCAGGUAUGUCAGCAAGGAACAUACUGCUUCUGGGGGUGAGGGAGACAAGGCACGGCUUAACCCAGAGGGCUUACUCUCUAGGGAACAUUUGUUGGGUUGCUGCCACUGCUGUAAAGUAGUGUCCUGGGCAUUUCAUUAAGUAUUCUUCAUUCCUUGUUGCACGAAUUCAGCCAUCAAAUUAACAAAUAAGGGUCCUGGAGGAGCCACCUGGGGCCUAUUGCGAAAGCUGGAUGCCAGUAAAAUCCAGUUGCAUAUUGCAAAAGGGAAAAGACCAAUAAGGAAACAAUAACAGAAAAGCUCUAUUAAAAAGGCAUAUGGAUACAAUGUUGCUGGCCCAGUUAAUGAACCUGUUAUAUUCAGUAGUGCAAUAAAAUCCAAAGUAAUUGCAAAUGAAACUUAAUGCCUUGUAAAAGAGUCCAGCUCCUUUUUGAAAUGAAGGCCUGAUCCAGCAGGAGGUGUAUGUGUGCUGCACAGCUUAACUCGUGUUUUAGGAAGCAUCUGAAUAGCUGUGGAUGAUGUUGAGGUUGUUUGAAACGUGCCUGCUUUCUUAGCCCAGCCUUCUGCAGGAGGAUGUGGAACAGGGCAGCGCAUGGAGAAUGUGACCUCGACCCUGUGCGUGUGGGAUCCUGCAUACCCUGCUCUUCCCUCCAGGCUCAGGAGUCACUUCAGACUGAUGCAACCAGGAAGUUGUUGAGGUUCCAGGCUCUGUGCAUCCCCUGGGAUGGAUAUCGUUGCUGCCCUUUCUGCUGGGGACUGUGCAGGGGGCACAGAAACGCUGCUGCCAAGAGGUGCAGAAACGGAUGUGACAGCAUCACCAGCCUUAGAAGAAACAGCAGCAGCGAGAGAGGUGGAAAGUCUGGACGUGGCCGACCCUGAUGAAGCAGUACUGGAAGCAUCAGAAAACCCAGAGACAGAAGGAGUUGCUGAAAUUAUCCGAGCAGCAGAACGAAUAGCAAAAUCUGAAGUGGCCAAGGUGCUGCAGUCAGCAAUAGCUGAGCUCACGGAGAUGAGGAGGAGCGCAUGGUUAAAGCCAAAGAACACCACCCAACAGGAGGAGGAGGACUGGGAGAAGAAGAGAGAGGUGAUGUGAGGGGAAGGUUGGUUCAUACCCAAAGUAAGGCUCAUACCCUGAGCAUUCCCAUUACAUCCCCUUUGUAAGUGCCCACGCUAUUAAAAAAUAAAGAUGUGCCACAU